Molecule: ribosomal RNA, 461 nt
Filed under: uncultured Glomus
Lineage: Eukaryota; Fungi; Glomeromycota; Glomeromycetes; Glomerales; Glomeraceae
Description: SSU rRNA
Rfam family: Eukaryotic small subunit ribosomal RNA
Source: RNAcentral
AGCAGCCGCGGUAAUUCCAGCUCCAAUAGCGUAUAUUAAAGUUGUUGCAGUUAAAAAGCUCGUAGUUGAAUUUCGGGAUCAAGUCGUCGGUCGUGCUCAGGUACGUACUGGCGUCAUUGAUUUCUCCCUUCUGACGAACCAUGAUGUCAUUAAUUUGGUGUUAUGGGAAAUCAGGACUGUUACUUUGAAAAAUUAGAGUGUUUAAAGCAGGCUCACGCUUGAAUACAUUAGCAUGGAAUAAUGAAAUAGGACGUUCGAUCCUAUUUUGUUGGUUUUAGGAUCAACGUAAUGAUUAAUAGGGAUAGUUGGGGGCAUUAGUAUUCAAUUGUCAGAGGUGAAAUUCUUGGAUUUAUUGAAGACUAACUACUGCGAAAGCAUUUGCCAAGGAUGUUUUCAUUAAUCAAGAACGAAAGUUAGGGGAUCGAAGACGAUCAGAUACCGUCGUAGUCUUAACCAUAGAC